UGGCUCAGUUGGUUAGAGCAUUGUGUUUGCAAUGCUAGGGUUGUGGGUUCGAUUCCCAC
This 59-nucleotide transfer RNA is filed under the name Salmo salar (Atlantic salmon). It matches the Rfam family "tRNA", at positions 8 to 63 of the family's 71-position model. Rfam says of the family: Transfer RNA (tRNA) molecules are approximately 80 nucleotides in length. Their secondary structure includes four short double-helical elements and three loops (D, anti-codon, and T loops). Lineage: Eukaryota; Metazoa; Chordata; Actinopteri; Salmoniformes; Salmonidae. The record is from Rfam by way of RNAcentral.